CCUACGGGUGGCUGCAGUGAGGAAUAUUGGUCAAUGGGCGGAAGCCUGAACCAGCCAAGUCGCGUGAGGGAAUAAGGCCCUACGGGUCGUAAACCUCUUUUGCCGGGGAGCAAGGGCCGGGACGCGUCCCGGCCCGGAGAGUAUCCGGAGAAAAAGCAUCGGCUAACUCCGGGCCAGCACCCACGGUAAGAGGGAGGAUGCUAGGGUUAUCCGGAUUUAUUGGGUUUAAAGGGUGCGUAGGCGGGCGUUAAAGUCAGCGGUAAAAAUUCGGGGUUCAACCCCGUCUGGCCGUUGAAACUGGGGGCCUUGAGUGGGCGAGAGGAAGGCGGAAUGCGUGGUGUAGCGGUGAAAUGCAUAGAUAUCACGCAGAACCCCGAUUGCGAAGGCAGCCUUCCGGCGCCCUACUGACGCUGAGGCACGAAAGUGCGGGGAUCGAACAGGAUUAGAUACCCCAGUAGUC
Molecule: ribosomal RNA, 460 nt
Filed under: uncultured bacterium
Lineage: Bacteria
Description: partial 16S ribosomal RNA
Rfam family: Bacterial small subunit ribosomal RNA
Source: RNAcentral